AGAGUUUGAUCCUGGCUCAGAUUGAACGCUGGCGGCAUGCCUUACACAUGCAAGUCGAACGCGAAAGGGGGCAACCCUGAGUAGAGUGGCGAACGGGUGAGUAAUGUAUCGGAACGUACCCAGUAGUGGGGGAUAGCCCGGCGAAAGCCGGAUUAAUACCGCAUACGACCUACGGGUGAAAGCGGGGGAUCGCAAGACCUCGCGCUAUUGGAGCGGCCGAUAUCGGAUUAGCUAGUUGGUGGGGUAAAAGCCUACCAAGGCUACGAUCCGUAGCAGGUUUGAGAGAACGACCUGCCACACUGGGACUGAGACACGGCCCAGACUCCUACGGGAGGCAGCAGUGGGGAAUUUUGGACAAUGGGCGAAAGCCUGAUCCAGCCACGCCGCGUGAGUGAAGAAGGCCUUCGGGUUGUAAAGCUCUUUUGUCAGGGAAGAAACGGUUGAGGCUAAUAUCCUCGGCUAAUGACGGUACCUGAAGAAUAAGCACCGGCUAACUACGUG
This 501-nucleotide ribosomal RNA is filed under the name uncultured bacterium. RNAcentral's name for it is "bacterial SSU rRNA". It matches the Rfam family "Bacterial small subunit ribosomal RNA", at positions 8 to 507 of the family's 1533-position model. The record is from RNAcentral.